AAAGGAAUAGACGGGGGCCCGCACAAGCGGAGGAACAUGUGGUUUAAUUCGAUGAUACGCGAGGAACCUUACCCGGGCUCGAACGGCAGAGGAAUAUACAAGAGAUUGUAUAGCCGCAAGGUCUCUGUCGAGGUGCUGCAUGGUUGUCGUCAGCUCGUGCCGUGAGGUGUCGGCUUAAGUGCCAUAACGAGCGCAACCCUUGUCGUCAGUUGCCAUCAAGUAAAGUUGGGGACUCUGGCGAGACUGCCACCGUAAGGUGUGAGGAAGGGGGGGAUGACGUCAAAUCAGCACGGCCCUUACGUCCGGGGCGACACACGUGUUACAAUGGGUGGUACAGAGGGUAGCUACACAGUGAUGUGAUGCCAAUCUCCAAAACCAUUCUCAGUUCGGAUUGGAGUCUGCAACCCGACUCCAUGAAGUUGGAUUCGCUAGUAAUCGCGCAUCAGCCAUGGCGCGGUGAAUACGUUCCCGGGCCUUGUACACACCGCCCGU
This 492-nucleotide ribosomal RNA is filed under the name uncultured bacterium. RNAcentral describes it as "bacterial SSU rRNA". It matches the Rfam family "Bacterial small subunit ribosomal RNA", at positions 903 to 1397 of the family's 1533-position model. The record is from RNAcentral.